Molecule: ribosomal RNA, 392 nt
Filed under: uncultured Sphingomonas sp.
Lineage: Bacteria; Pseudomonadati; Pseudomonadota; Alphaproteobacteria; Sphingomonadales; Sphingomonadaceae
Description: bacterial SSU rRNA
Rfam family: Bacterial small subunit ribosomal RNA
Source: RNAcentral
AACCUGGCGGCAUGCCCACGUUAAGUCGAACGAGAUCUUCGCGUCUAGUGGCGCACGGGUGCGUAACGCGUGGGAAUCUGCCCUUUGGUUCGGAAUAACAGUUGGAAACGACUGCUAAUACCGGAUGAUGACGAAAGUCCAAAGAUUUAUCGCCAGAGGAUGAGCCCGCGUAGGAUUAGCUAGUUGGUGUGGUAAAGGCGCACCAAGGCGACGAUCCUUAGCUGGUCUGAGAGGAUGAUCAGCCACACUGGGACUGAGACACGGCCCAGACUCCUACGGGAGGCAGCAGUGGGGAAUAUUUGGGACCAAAUGGGCGAAAGCCUUAUCCAGCAAUGCCGCGUUAGUGAUUAAGGGCCUAAAGGGUUGUAAAGCUCUUUUAAACCGGGAUUAUA